CAGCAGUAUGUGACAGUAUGGGAAUUUUGUAAAAACUGAGGAAAAGCAGAGAAAAGAGAACUUCAACAGACCCUAACACAAGAUUAGAAAUUAAUUUAAAGUUUUGGUCAAAAUUUCCAGCAAUUUGUGGAUUGAAUACU
Molecule: long non-coding RNA, 140 nt
Filed under: Octodon degus (degu)
Lineage: Eukaryota; Metazoa; Chordata; Mammalia; Rodentia; Octodontidae
Description: Non-protein coding RNA, upstream of F2R/PAR1 conserved region 1 (ENSODEG00000025323.1)
Rfam family: Non-protein coding RNA, upstream of F2R/PAR1 conserved region 1
Source: RNAcentral